Molecule: long non-coding RNA, 681 nt
Filed under: Physcomitrium patens
Lineage: Eukaryota; Viridiplantae; Streptophyta; Bryopsida; Funariales; Funariaceae
Description: long non-coding RNA (PPAT_LNC012417)
Source: RNAcentral
UGGUUCAGCAGGUAGAAUGGAUGAAUAGUCAGGAAAAGUAAUUAUCAUCUGUAGUAUAGGAGUUGGUAUCUCGGGGUAGUAUAAGGAGGAUGGGAGAGGGGAAGAAAAGGCCAGACUAUGAGAGUUGUAAGCCGGAGUAAGGUUGGUACUACCUCUUUUUUUUUUUUUGUUAUUUUCUUUGAAUAAGAGGAUUGAAAGUUUCUGAAUAUUGUGAAGUGAAUUAUGGAAUGGAAAUGUGAUUGGUAUUAUUUGAGAAGAAGAAAGAUUGAAUGCUGAAAUCUGAUUGUAGUUCAGCAGAGAGAAUGAGUCUAUAUUUGUGUGAAACACUGUAAUGUGAAUGGCAAUUCUGUGUGAAGAAUUCCAGUGAUUGGAACGAGGAUAAUUGUGUGCUGAAAGUUGUGAGGGCACAGUAUUACAAUUGGAGAUUAUAAGGGUGAAUAUAUUGGUAGAAAUAGCAGUUAUUGGUAUGACUGAAUUGUUGUAAGGAAGAGACCAAUAAGAUGAAGGAGGAGAUUAUAGUUUCUUUCUGUGUUCAAAUAUUGGAAAUAGAGACGAUACAUUCAGGAGGUAAUUGAUUGUGUGACCCUAAUGUGAACGCUUAAGCAACUAUUCAUUCCUUGUGUUCGAAUCUCCCUAUACUGAUUUAUGUUGGGAAGUUUCUUCUGGAAUAAGUAAAACGAG